ACUGGGGUUGUAGCUCAGUGGUAGAGUGCUUGCCUCACAUGUGGAAGGCACUGGGUUCGAUCCUCAGCACAGUA
RNAcentral lists this transfer RNA (74 nucleotides) under Marmota monax (woodchuck). RNAcentral describes it as "tRNA.Val". Lineage: Eukaryota; Metazoa; Chordata; Mammalia; Rodentia; Sciuridae. The record is from RNAcentral.